CUUAACUGGGCGUUCAGUCUCUGGAUAUAGACCCGAAACCAGGUGAUCUAGCCAUGGGCAGGUUGAAGGUUGAGUAACAUCAACUGGAGGACCGAACCGACUAAUGUUGAAAAAUUAGCGGAUGACUUGUGGCUAGGGGUGAAAGGCCAAUCAAACCUGGAGAUAGCUGGUUCUCCCCGAAAGCUAUUUAGGUAGCGCCUCGGACGAAUACUACUGGGGGUAGAGCACUGUUAAGGCUAGGGGGUCAUCCCGACUUACCAACCCUUUGCAAACUCCGAAUACCAGUAAGUACUAUCCGGGAGACACACGGCGGGUGCUAACGUCCGUCGUGGAGAGGGAAACAACCCAGACCGCCAGCUAAGGUCCCAAAUUACUAC
RNAcentral lists this ribosomal RNA (377 nucleotides) under Vibrio parahaemolyticus. RNAcentral's name for it is "partial 23S ribosomal RNA". It matches the Rfam family "Bacterial large subunit ribosomal RNA", at positions 683 to 1058 of the family's 2925-position model. The record is from RNAcentral. Lineage: Bacteria; Pseudomonadati; Pseudomonadota; Gammaproteobacteria; Vibrionales; Vibrionaceae.